RNAcentral lists this ribosomal RNA (942 nucleotides) under uncultured archaeon. RNAcentral describes it as "bacterial SSU rRNA". It matches the Rfam family "Archaeal small subunit ribosomal RNA", at positions 1 to 922 of the family's 1478-position model. The record is from RNAcentral.
UUCCGGUUGAUCCUGCCGGACCUUACUGCUAUCGGGGUGGGACUAAGACAUGCGAGUCGAGCGUCUCUAGCUAUGUUGAGACGCGGCAGACGGCUCAGUAACACGUGGCUAACCUACCCUCAGGACGAGGAUAAACCCGGGAAACUGGGGCUAAUACUCGAUAUGUGAGAAUGUCUGGAAUGAUUUCUCACUCAAAGGGCCUUGGGAACAUGCUUCCAAUGUCGCCUGGGGAUGGGGCCGCGUCCGAUCAGGUUGUUGGUGAGGUAAUGGCUCACCAAGCCUAUAACCGGUACGGGCCGUGAGAGCGGUAGCCCGGAGAUGGGUACUGAGACAAGGACCCAGGCCCUACGGGGCGCAGCAGUCGCGAAAACUCCGCAAUGCACGAAAGUGUGACGGGGCUACCCCGAGUGCCAUCCGCUGAGGAUGGCUUUUCCUUGGUAUAACUAGCCGAGGGAAUAAGGAGAGGGCAAGACUGGUGUCAGCCGCCGCGGUAAUACCAGCUCUCCGAGUGGUAGGGAUGAUUAUUGGGCUUAAAGCGUCCGUAGCCGGCUUAGCAAGUCUCCUGUUAAAUUCAGCGACCUAAUCGUUGAGCCGCGGGAGAUACUACUAUGCUAGGAGGCGGGAGAGGUCGACGGUACUUCUGGGGUAGGGGUGAAAUCCUAUAAUCCCAGGAGGACCACCAGUGGCGAAGGCUGUCGACUAGAACGCGCUCGACGGUGAGGGACGAAAGCUGGGGGAGCGAACCGGAUUAGAUACCCGGGUAGUCCCAGCCGUAAACGAUGCGGGCUAGGUGUUGGAAUGGCUACGUGCCAUUUCAGUGCCGCAGGGAAGCCAUUAAGCCCGCCGCCUGGGGAGUACGGCCGCAAGGCUGAAACUUAAAGGAAUUGGCGGGGGAGCACCACAAGGCGUGAAGCUUGCGGUUCAAUUGGAGUCAACGCCGGG